GAUGAACGCUGGCGGCGUGCUUAACACAUGCAAGUCGAACGAUGAAGCUCCAGCUUGCUGGAGUGGAUUAGUGGCGAACGGGUGAGUAACACGUGAGUAACCUGCCCUUGACUCUGGGAUAAGCCUUGGAAACGAGGUCUAAUACCGGAUAGGAGCACUCAUCGCAUGGUGGGUGUUGGAAAGAAUUUCGGUCAUGGAUGGACUCGCGGCCUAUCAGCUUGUUGGUGAGGUAAUGGCUCACCAAGGCGACGACGGGUAGCCGGCCUGAGAGGGUGACCGGCCACACUGGGACUGAGACACGGCCCAGACUCCUACGGGAGGCAGCAGUGGGGAAUAUUGCACAAUGGGCGAAAGCCUGAUGCAGCGACGCCGCGUGAGGGAUGACGGCCUUCGGGUUGUAAACCUCUUUCAGUAGGGAAGAAGCGAAGGUGACGGUA
RNAcentral lists this ribosomal RNA (437 nucleotides) under uncultured bacterium. RNAcentral's name for it is "bacterial SSU rRNA". It matches the Rfam family "Bacterial small subunit ribosomal RNA", at positions 28 to 477 of the family's 1533-position model. The record is from RNAcentral.